CCUACGGGUGGCAGCAGUGAGGAAUAUUGGUCAAUGGACGAGAGUCUGAACCAGCCAAGUAGCGUUAAGGAUGACUGCCCUAUGGGUUGUAAACUUCUUUUAUAUGGGAAUAAAAUGUUCCACGUGUGGGAUUUUGUAUGUACCAUAUGAAUAAGGAUCGGCUAACUCCGUGCCAGCAGCCGCGGUAAUACGGAGGAUCCGAGCGUUAUCCGGAUUUAUUGGGUUUAAAGGGAGCGUAUGUGGUUUGUUAAGUCAGUUGUGAAAGUUUGCGGCUCAACCGUAAAAUUGCAGUUGAAACUGGCAGUCUGGAGUACAGUAGAGGUGGGCGGAAUUCGUGGUGUAGCGGUGAAAUGCUCAGAUAUCACGAAGAACUCCGAUUGCGAAGGCAGCUCACUGGACUGCAACUGACACUGAGGCUCGAAAGUGUGGGUAUCAAACAGGAUUAGAUACCCGGGUAGUC
Molecule: ribosomal RNA, 460 nt
Filed under: uncultured bacterium
Lineage: Bacteria
Description: partial 16S ribosomal RNA
Rfam family: Bacterial small subunit ribosomal RNA
Source: RNAcentral